RNAcentral lists this ribosomal RNA (998 nucleotides) under Salmonella enterica subsp. enterica serovar Infantis. Its description in RNAcentral is "bacterial SSU rRNA". It matches the Rfam family "Bacterial small subunit ribosomal RNA", at positions 110 to 1104 of the family's 1533-position model. RNAcentral also lists the same sequence under 2 other names. Lineage: Bacteria; Pseudomonadati; Pseudomonadota; Gammaproteobacteria; Enterobacterales; Enterobacteriaceae. The record is from RNAcentral.
GUAAUGUCUGGGAAACUGCCUGAUGGAGGGGGAUAACUACUGGAAACGGUGGCUAAUACCGCAUAACGUCGCAAGACCAAAGAGGGGGACCUUCGGGCCUCUUGCCAUCAGAUGUGCCCAGAUGGGAUUAGCUUGUUGGUGAGGUAACGGCUCACCAAGGCGACGAUCCCUAGCUGGUCUGAGAGGAUGACCAGCCACACUGGAACUGAGACACGGUCCAGACUCCUACGGGAGGCAGCAGUGGGGAAUAUUGCACAAUGGGCGCAAGCCUGAUGCAGCCAUGCCGCGUGUAUGAAGAAGGCCUUCGGGUUGUAAAGUACUUUCAGCGGGGAGGAAGGUGUUGUGGUUAAUAACCGCAGCAAUUGACGUUACCCGCAGAAGAAGCACCGGCUAACUCCGUGCCAGCAGCCGCGGUAAUACGGAGGGUGCAAGCGUUAAUCGGAAUUACUGGGCGUAAAGCGCACGCAGGCGGUCUGUCAAGUCGGAUGUGAAAUCCCCGGGCUCAACCUGGGAACUGCAUUCGAAACUGGCAGGCUUGAGUCUUGUAGAGGGGGGUAGAAUUCCAGGUGUAGCGGUGAAAUGCGUAGAGAUCUGGAGGAAUACCGGUGGCGAAGGCGGCCCCCUGGACAAAGACUGACGCUCAGGUGCGAAAGCGUGGGGAGCAAACAGGAUUAGAUACCCUGGUAGUCCACGCCGUAAACGAUGUCUACUUGGAGGUUGUGCCCUUGAGGCGUGGCUUCCGGAGCUAACGCGUUAAGUAGACCGCCUGGGGAGUACGGCCGCAAGGUUAAAACUCAAAUGAAUUGACGGGGGCCCGCACAAGCGGUGGAGCAUGUGGUUUAAUUCGAUGCAACGCGAAGAACCUUACCUGGUCUUGACAUCCACAGAAGAAUCCAGAGAUGGAUUUGUGCCUUCGGGAACUGUGAGACAGGUGCUGCAUGGCUGUCGUCAGCUCGUGUUGUGAAAUGUUGGGUUAAGUCCCGCAACGAGCGCAACCC